GAUGAACGCUGGCGGCGUGCUUAACACAUGCAAGUCGAACGAUGAAGCCCAGCUUGCUGGGUGGAUUAGUGGCGAACGGGUGAGUAACACGUGAGUAACCUGCCCUUGACUCUGGGAUAAGCCUGGGAAACUGGGACUAAUACUGGAUAUGACUUCUCAUCGCAUGGUGGGGGGUGGAAAGAUUUAUUGGUCUUGGAUGGACUCGCGGCCUAUCAGCUUGUUGGUGAGGUAAUGGCUCACCAAGGCGACGACGGGUAGCCGGCCUGAGAGGGUGACCGGCCACACUGGGACUGAGACACGGCCCAGACUCCUACGGGAGGCAGCAGUGGGGAAUAUUGCACAAUGGGCGCAAGCCUGAUGCAGCGACGCCGCGUGAGGGAUGACGGCCUUCGGGUUGUAAACCUCUUUCAGUAGGGAAGAAGCGAGAGUGACGGUACCUGCAGAAGAAGCGCCGGCUAACUACGUG
RNAcentral lists this ribosomal RNA (466 nucleotides) under uncultured bacterium. RNAcentral's name for it is "partial 16S ribosomal RNA". It matches the Rfam family "Bacterial small subunit ribosomal RNA", at positions 28 to 507 of the family's 1533-position model. The record is from RNAcentral.